CAUUCCUACUCCCGUAUCUGGAUUCCAGAUUCUGGAACUUGUUUAUUAUUAUCUAAUAUUUAUUUGCUCUAAUAUAUUGUGACCAUAUCAACUUUUUCUAUGAACAAGUGUUUUUAAAUAUAUUUGUUGCUUAAGUUUAAGAUUCAUUCGGGUCUCUGUGAUAGAUUCCUUGAAGGCGCUGAAUGACUCGGCCACCUCACUGAGACAUUCCUCCUGGAUGUGUUUAAGGCAGAGGCAGAUGGAAAUGGGAUCAGCAUUGUUUAAUCGAUAAAAUAGACGCUGCUUCAGAUGGGAGGGCAAUCCGAGUCGGACCAGGACUUCAAAGUGGCAGGACUCGUACUUCGGGUGCUCCACAAGAAACUCUGCGCACUUCUCAUAGAUGUCCACGCACUGCAUGGACUUAUUUUCGCUCUUCAUGAAGUGCCUUAGGAUCUUUCGGGCCUCCGCGUCAUCCAGGAUUCUUCCGACACUGUUCGAGAGCGCGUAUAUCCUUUCCGCCUCGCAAAGUUUCAUGUUCUCCAUUAGUUCUUCAUAACUUUGCUGCAGUUUUGUAAAAGUUUUAUUUAUUUCAUUUUUAGUAAUUCAUUAGCGAACCUUUUCCGAACUGGGUGCCAUGCUUGAGUAAUAAUUUCAAAAUAAAAACAGUUGAAGUGU
This is a non-coding RNA of Drosophila melanogaster (fruit fly), 654 nucleotides long. The record is from Ensembl. Lineage: Eukaryota; Metazoa; Arthropoda; Insecta; Diptera; Drosophilidae.